Molecule: ribosomal RNA, 434 nt
Filed under: uncultured bacterium
Lineage: Bacteria
Description: partial 16S ribosomal RNA
Rfam family: Bacterial small subunit ribosomal RNA
Source: RNAcentral
AGCGAACGCUGGCGGCAGGCCUAACACAUGCAAGUCGAACGAACCUUUCGGGGUUAGUGGCGGACGGGUGAGUAACACGUGGGAACGUGCCUUUAGGUUCGGAAUAACUCAGGGAAACUUGUGCUAAUACCGAAUGUGCCCUUCGGGGGAAAGAUUAAUCGCCUUUAGAGCGGCCCGCGUCUGAUUAGCUAGUUGGUUGAGGUAAUGGCUCACCAGGGCGACGAUCAGUAGCUGGUCUGAGAGGAUGAUCAGCCACAUUGGGACUGAGACACGGCCCAAACUCCUACGGGAGGCAGCAGUGGGGAAUCUUGCGCAAUGGGCGAAAGCCUGACGCAGCCAUGCCGCGUGAAUGAUGAAGGUCUUAGGAUUGUAAAAUUCUUUCACCGGGGACGAUAAUGACGGUACCCGGAGAAGAAGCCCCGGCUAACUUCGUG